AAGCCAUGCAUGUCUCAGUGCAAGCCGUCUAGUACGGUGAAACCGCGAAAGGCUCAUUAAAUCAGUUAUGGUUCCUUAGAUCGUACCCACGUUACUUGGAUAACUGUGGUAAUUCUAGAGCUAAUACAUGCCGAUAGAGUUCCGACCAGCUGUCCGGAUUUGCGGCGGUUCUCCGUCGCUGCCGGACGUUCGGAAGGAACGCUUUUAUUAGAUCAAAACCGGCUAUAUGGUCGUCCUCCUCGCGAAGACGGCCAUACACGGCCCGCGCAAAGACUUGGUGACUCUGAAUAACUUCGAGCUGAUCGCACGGUCUCGUACCGGCGACGUAUCUUUCAAAUGUCUGCCUUAUCAACUGUCGACGGUAGGUUCGACGCCUACCGUGGUGGUAACGGGUAACGGGGAAUCAGGGUUCGAUUCCGGAGAGGGAGCCUGAGAAACGGCUACCACAUCCAAGGAAGGCAGCAGGCGCGCAAAUUACCCACUCCCAGUUCGGGGAGGUAGUGACGAAAAAUAACGAUACGGGACUCAUUCGAGGCCCCGUAAUCGGAAUGAGUACACUUUAAAACCUUGGUCAC
RNAcentral lists this ribosomal RNA (575 nucleotides) under Ripersiella sp. 190824-MY-04(IN96A). Its description in RNAcentral is "SSU rRNA". It matches the Rfam family "Eukaryotic small subunit ribosomal RNA", at positions 46 to 538 of the family's 1831-position model. The record is from RNAcentral. Lineage: Eukaryota; Metazoa; Arthropoda; Insecta; Hemiptera; Pseudococcidae.